Molecule: ribosomal RNA, 322 nt
Filed under: Euglyphida sp.
Lineage: Eukaryota; Cercozoa; Imbricatea; Euglyphida
Description: SSU rRNA
Rfam family: Eukaryotic small subunit ribosomal RNA (bases 103-322)
Source: RNAcentral
GAUUUCUGGUUGACCAUGCUGGCCCGCGUCCUCACGGGCGUGUGUGCUGGUAUGAGUCUUCCAUCCUUCUAGAGAGCCGUGCCUGCUGUUCAUUCAGCUGGGCAUGUGCGAUCUAGAUCAUUUACUUUGAAAAAAUUAGAGUGUUUAAAGCAGGCUUAUGCCAGAAUACAUUAGCAUGGAAUAAUAAAAUAGGACUUCGGUUCUAUUUUGUUGGUUUCUAGAACUGAAGUAAUGAUUGAUAGGGAUAGUUGGGGGUGCUAGUAUUCAGUGGCCAGAGGUGAAAUUCUUGGAUUCACUGAAGACUAACUACUGCGAAAGCAUU